RNAcentral lists this non-coding RNA (25 nucleotides) under Mus musculus (house mouse). The record is from RNAcentral. Lineage: Eukaryota; Metazoa; Chordata; Mammalia; Rodentia; Muridae.
UGGUGAAGACCUUCGCUGCUCUGAA